UGGUGGAGUGAUUUGUCUGGUUAAUCCCGUUAACGAACGAGACCUUAGCCUACUAACUAGUCGACUCAAUCUCGAUUGAUUCCGACUUCUUAGAGGGACUUUGUGGUUUAAACACAAGGAAGUUUGAGGCAAUAACA
Molecule: ribosomal RNA, 137 nt
Filed under: uncultured eukaryote
Lineage: Eukaryota
Description: partial 18S ribosomal RNA
Rfam family: Eukaryotic small subunit ribosomal RNA
Source: RNAcentral